GAUGAACGCUGGCGGCGUGCCUAACACAUGCAAGUCGAACGCUCGCAAGAGAGUGGCGCACGGGUGAGUAACACGUAGCUAAUCUGCCCUCAAGACAAGGAUAACUGUAGGAAACUACUGCUAAUACUUGAUAAGCUUACGGACUGUAGAGGUCUAUAAGAAAGAUUUAUCGCUUGAGGAUGAGGCUGCGCGCCAUCAGCUAGUUGGUAAGGUAAUGGCUUACCAAGGCGACGACGGCUAGGGGACCUGAGAGGGUGACCCCCCACACUGGGACUGAGACACGGCCCAGACUCCUACGGGAGGCAGCAGUGAGGAAUAUUGCUCAAUGGGCGCAAGCCUGAAGCAGCGACGCCGCGUGGAUGAAGAAGGUUUUCGGACUGUAAAAUCCUUUUCUGUGUGACGAGAGUGGACGGUAGCACAGGAAUAAGUCUCGGCUAACUACGUGCCAGCAGCCGCGGUAAAU
RNAcentral lists this ribosomal RNA (463 nucleotides) under uncultured bacterium. RNAcentral's name for it is "bacterial SSU rRNA". It matches the Rfam family "Bacterial small subunit ribosomal RNA", at positions 28 to 525 of the family's 1533-position model. The record is from RNAcentral.